UACGGGAGGCAGCAGUGGGGAAUAUUGCACAAUGGGCGCAAGCCUGAUGCAGCCAUGCCGCGUGUAUGAAGAAGGCCUUCGGGUUGUAAAGUACUUUCAGUCGUGAGGAAGGUGUUAAGGUUAAUAACCUUAGCAAUUGACGUUAGCGACAGAAGGAGCACCGGCUAACUCCGUGCCAGCAGCCGCGGUAAUACGGAGGGUGCGAGCGUUAAUCGGAAUUACUGGGCGUAAAGGGCACGCAGGCGGUUAAUUAAGUUGGAUGUGAAAUCCCCGGGCUUAACCUGGGAAUGGCAUUCAAGACUGGUUAGCUAGAGUCUUGUAGAGGGGGUAGAAUUCCAUGUGUAGCGGUGAAAUGCGUAGAGAUGUGGAGGAAUACCGGGUGGCGAAGGCGGCCCCUGGGACAAAGACUGACGCUCAUGUGCGAAAGCGUGGGGAGCAAACAGGGAUUAGAUACC
Molecule: ribosomal RNA, 455 nt
Filed under: uncultured bacterium
Lineage: Bacteria
Description: bacterial SSU rRNA
Rfam family: Bacterial small subunit ribosomal RNA
Source: RNAcentral